AGAGUUUGAUCCUGGCUCAGGACGAACGCUGGCGGCGUGCCUAACACAUGCAAGUCGAGCGAUGAAACCCUUCGGGGUGGAUUAGCGGCGGACGGGUGAGUAACACGUGGGUAACCUGCCUCAAAGAGGGGGAUAGCCUCCCGAAAGGGAGAUUAAUACCGCAUAACAUUAUUUUUUCGCAUGAAGAGAUAAUCAAAGGAGUAAUCCGCUUUGAGAUGGACCCGCGGCGCAUUAGCUAGUUGGUGAGGUAAUGGCUCACCAAGACGAUGAUACGUAGCCGACCUGAGAGGGUGAUCGGCCACAUUGGGACUGAGACACGGCCCAAACUCCUACGGGAGGCAGCAGUAGGGAAUCUUCCGCAAUGGACGAAAGUCUGACGGAGCAACGCCGCGUGAGUGAAGAAGGUUUUCGGAUCGUAAAACUCUGUUGUCAGAGAAGAACAAGUCGGAGAGUAACUGCUCCGGCCUUGACGGUAUCUGACCAGAAAGCCACGGCUAACUACGUGCCAGCAGCCGCGGUAAUACGUAGGUGGUAAGCGUUGUCCGGAUUUAUUGGGCGUAAAGCGAGCGCAGCGGUUCCUUAAGUCUGAUGUGAAAGCCCACGGCUCAACCGUGGAAGGUCAUUGGAAACUGGGGAACUUGAGUGCAGAAGAGAGAGUGGAAUUCCAUGUGUAGCGGUGAAAUGCGUAGAUWUWUGGAGGAACMMCCAGUGGCGAAGCGACUCUCUGGUCUKUAACUGACSCUGAGCUCGAAGCGUKGGGAGCAAACAGGAUUAGAUUACCUGGUAGUCCACGCCGUAAACGAUGAGUGCUAAGUGUUGGAGGUUCMCCUUUCRUGCUGCAGCUAACGCAUUAAGCACU
Molecule: ribosomal RNA, 859 nt
Filed under: uncultured Trichococcus sp.
Lineage: Bacteria; Bacillati; Bacillota; Bacilli; Lactobacillales; Carnobacteriaceae
Description: bacterial SSU rRNA
Rfam family: Bacterial small subunit ribosomal RNA
Source: RNAcentral